UAAUACAUCGGAACGUGCCCUGUAGUGGGGAUAACUAGUCGAAAGAUUAGCUAAUACCGCAUACGACCUGAGGGUGAAAGUGGGGGACCGCAAGGCCUCAUGCUAUAGGAGCGGCCGAUGUCUGAUUAGCUAGUUGGUGAGGUAAAGGCUCACCAAGGCGACGAUCAGUAGCUGGUCUGAGAGGACGAUCAGCCACACUGGGACUGAGACACGGCCCAG
RNAcentral lists this ribosomal RNA (219 nucleotides) under uncultured bacterium. RNAcentral describes it as "partial 16S ribosomal RNA". It matches the Rfam family "Bacterial small subunit ribosomal RNA", at positions 111 to 334 of the family's 1533-position model. The record is from RNAcentral.